This 62-nucleotide transfer RNA is filed under the name Botrylloides nigrum. RNAcentral's name for it is "transfer RNA-Met(UAU)". The record is from RNAcentral. Lineage: Eukaryota; Metazoa; Chordata; Ascidiacea; Stolidobranchia; Styelidae.
AUUAAUAUAGGUUAGAAAAACUGUUGAAUUUAUUAUUCAAAGAGGCUUGUGUGCUAUUAGUA